Molecule: unclassified non-coding RNA, 505 nt
Filed under: Hevea brasiliensis (rubber tree)
Lineage: Eukaryota; Viridiplantae; Streptophyta; Magnoliopsida; Malpighiales; Euphorbiaceae
Source: RNAcentral
AACCCUAGGUUCUUUCCCAUCAAACCAACUCCAUCUUAGGCAAAAUCUGUGGCAUUCCCUCCAUAAAAGAAAAGUUUCCAAGGUUACUAGAAUUACCUCCAUUCUACAAAUUCCAGAUCCCCAUAGGAUUAGGAAGUAAUCCUUUGCCAUUUCCCAAAAUUGACUGAGAUCCAAUAUUUUUAGAUAUGAUUUCCCCCUUACCAGAACUACUAGGCCCCUUAUUCCUUUCAGCAAUCAUAUAGGCUCGUAACUCUUCCAAGAUGAUACUUUGGCUCUCAGUUUUCUUCAUCUUAUCUUCCUUGAAUUCCUUCAGAUCUCCAACAAUUAUUGAAGCCACCUCCUGCAAAUUCCGAGAAACAUCUUGCUAGUUUCUCACUUGCUCUUCCAACUCAGCAUUCUUUACCAUCUCUGGACUUGCUACAACUGAUCUAGUCAUAGUUCCGACUUCCAAAGAUCAAUUUCCCACUGAUCCCUAGACUCAAUAGCUCUGAUACCAAAUGUUAGG